This 488-nucleotide ribosomal RNA is filed under the name uncultured bacterium. Its description in RNAcentral is "partial 16S ribosomal RNA". It matches the Rfam family "Bacterial small subunit ribosomal RNA", at positions 30 to 506 of the family's 1533-position model. The record is from RNAcentral.
AUUGAACGCUGGCGGCAGGCCUAACACAUGCAAGUCGAACGGUAACAGGAAGCAGCUUGCUGCUUUGCUGACGAGUGGCGGACGGGUGAGUAAUGUCUGGGAAACUGCCUGAUGGAGGGGGAUAACUACUGGAAACGGUAGCUAAUACCGCAUAACGUCGCAAGACCAAAGAGGGGACCUUCGGGCCUCUUGCCAUCGGAUGUGCCCAGAUGGGAUUAGCUAGUAGGUGGGGUAAAGGCUCACCUAGGCGACGAUCCCUAGCUGGUCUGAGAGGAUGACCAGCCACACUGGAACUGAGACACGGUCCAGACUCCUACGGGAGGCAGCAGUGGGGAAUAUUGCACAAUGGGCGCAAGCCUGAUGCAGCCAUGCCGCGUGUAUGAAGAAGGCCUUCGGGUUGUAAAGUACUUUCAGCGGGGAGGAAGGGAGUAAAGUUAAUACCUUUGCUCAUUGACGUUACCCGCAGAAGAAGCACCGGCUAACUCCGU